RNAcentral lists this ribosomal RNA (464 nucleotides) under uncultured bacterium. RNAcentral's name for it is "partial 16S ribosomal RNA". It matches the Rfam family "Bacterial small subunit ribosomal RNA", at positions 28 to 506 of the family's 1533-position model. The record is from RNAcentral.
GAUGAGCGCUGGCGGCGUGCUUAACACAUGCAAGUCGAACGGAAAGGCUCCUGCUUGCAGGGGUACUCGAGUGGCGAACGGGUGAGUAACACGUGGGUGAUCUGCCCUGCACUUCGGGAUAAGCCUGGGAAACUGGGUCUAAUACCGGAUAGGACGAUGGUUUGGAUGCCAUUGUGGAAAGUUUUUCGGUGUGGGAUGAGCUCGCGGCCUAUCAGCUUGUUGGUGGGGUAAUGGCCUACCAAGGCGUCGACGGGUAGCCGGCCUGAGAGGGUGUACGGCCACAUUGGGACUGAGAUACGGCCCAGACUCCUACGGGAGGCAGCAGUGGGGAAUAUUGCACAAUGGGCGCAAGCCUGAUGCAGCGACGCCGCGUGGGGGAUGACGGCCUUCGGGUUGUAAACUCCUUUCGCUAGGGACGAAGCGCAAGUGACGGUACCUGGAGAAGAAGCACCGGCUAACUACGU